This 465-nucleotide ribosomal RNA is filed under the name Vreelandella stevensii. Its description in RNAcentral is "partial 16S ribosomal RNA". It matches the Rfam family "Bacterial small subunit ribosomal RNA", at positions 338 to 795 of the family's 1533-position model. The record is from RNAcentral. Lineage: Bacteria; Pseudomonadati; Pseudomonadota; Gammaproteobacteria; Oceanospirillales; Halomonadaceae.
CCUACGGGUGGCAGCGGUGGGGAAUAUUGGACAAUGGGGGCAACCCUGAUCCAGCCAUGCCGCGUGUGUGAAGAAGGCCCUCGGGUUGUAAAGCACUUUCAGUGAGGAAGAACGCCUGGUGGUUAAUACCCAUCAGGAAAGACAUCACUCACAGAAGAAGCACCGGCUAACUCCGUGCCAGCAGCCGCGGUAAUACGGAGGGUGCGAGCGUUAAUCGGAAUUACUGGGCGUAAAGCGCGCGUAGGUGGCUUGAUAAGCCGGUUGUGAAAGCCCCGGGCUCAACCUGGGAACGGCAUCCGGAACUGUCAAGCUAGAGUGCAGGAGAGGAAGGUAGAAUUCCCGGUGUAGCGGUGAAAUGCGUAGAGAUCGGGAGGAAUACCAGUGGCGAAGGCGGCCUUCUGGACUGACACUGACACUGAGGUGCGAAAGCGUGGGUAGCAAACAGGAUUAGAUACCCCUGUAGUC